Esox lucius (northern pike) is the source of this 1573-nucleotide long non-coding RNA. NCBI's taxonomy places the organism in Eukaryota, Metazoa, Chordata, Actinopteri, Esociformes, Esocidae. The record is from Ensembl.
CAACACUCAAUAGUAAAAAGUAUAACAACACUUAAUAGUAAAAAGUAAAGCAACACUCAAUAGUAAAAAGUAUAACAACACUUAAUAGUAAAAAGUAUAACAACACUUAAUAGUAAAAAGUAUAGCAACACUCAAUAGUAAAAAGUAUAACAACACUUAAUAGUAAAAAGUAUAACAACACUUAAUAGUAAAAAGUAAAUUCCCACAACAGAGAAACUAUAUUAUCAAUCAUGCCGUUGCAACCUCACUUACUCCCUCUCUCUUACUCACUCCCCGUCUGAUGCCAUUUACAACCUAACCUCAUACCGCAGUUUUUUGCAGGGGUUUUGUGCAGAAAAGAGUGCAAAGGAGAGGUGUUAGAUUCCGACUAACUGAAUUAAAAACCUGUUUAUGAUGUAAAUGUACAGGAACACAAUGACAUUUACACUGUGAAGAGGACAAUAUAAGGAAAGACAAUGAAUCUGAAAAUCAAGAUGGAGAUCAACCUGUGUAUUACAGUCUUCGUGAUGUUCUGUUCUCUGGAUGAUGUAUUUACUGAACAUCUUGACUGCAAAGGUAUGAAUGAAUUUUGAUUAAAUGAGUUGAUUAAAUGGAGGAAAUGUAAAGUUUGUCAACAGAUCUUGUGAUAGUUAUUUAUCUAAAUGGUGAUGACAUAUAUGUACAAAACAUUUCAGCCUUUUUUCCUAAAUGUAUUUAAAAAUGUAUACAUACGUGUCGAUUUUGUCCAAAUGUAUUUUACCGUCAGACAAGCUCUCUUUACAAUAUGCAUUUUGUAUAGAAAAUACAUUGCAUAAUGUAUUUUGAAGUGUGUAAUAUGUAUUGAAAAAUACAUCUAUAUAUUUCUUAUGUAUUUUCCAAUCCAUUUUCAAAUGCAUGUAGAACAUUGCACCAACGUUCGUUGGACCACCUUCAGCUCUAAUUAUGGUGGAUUUGUUUCUGAAACAUUCAUUUCUGUCCGGUGUUUCAUUCAUUUUUGGCUGAGAUCUUUUAUUGACAAUGGGAGAGUCAAACCAUUCUGGAAUGUAUUUCCAGCACAUGUGAAAAUAAUUCUUCAUGAACCCUGAACCAAUCGUGGACACUUUGAGCCCGAUGAUGUGGACAUUUGUAAUGGACCAAUCAGAUGCUGUGUUAUACUUGUCAUGGGAACAGGGUACACAUUGCGACAAAUGCUUACCUGUUGGAUACUUAAUGACAAUGCAGCACAAUAGUUGAUUAGAUUAGAUUCAACUUUAUUGUCAUUGAACAGUACAAGUACAGUACCACAAAAUGCAGUUAGCAUCUAACCAGAUGUGCAAAUAGAGGAGGGCAGAAAAUGUACAAGUAUUAAGUAAAUGUAUAUUACCAGUGGAAUGUGUUGAUGUGCAAUGAAGGCAAAUGCAGUACAAAUGGCAAUACUAAAUGUGCCAUAAGGCAAAUAGAGGAGGGCAUAAGAUUUAGAAGUAUUUCCAAGUAUAAGGUAUAUGUAUAUUACCAGUGGAAUGUGUAGAUGAGCAACACUUAAUGUGCAAUAAUAAAUAGAGAAGGCCAGAAAAAGUAUUAGGUAGAGUGAUACCCUAACACUGUCAGCCAAUCA